AGGAGGAACAGCCCCAGUGGCGGGGCAGCUCUGGAAACCUGGAUUCGGCUCCGGCAGGAACUCCGUCUGCAGGGCCUGGAGGCUCCGGGGCGGG
Canis lupus familiaris (dog) is the source of this 94-nucleotide non-coding RNA. The record is from Rfam. NCBI's taxonomy places the organism in Eukaryota, Metazoa, Chordata, Mammalia, Carnivora, Canidae.